UACGGAGGGUGCUAGCGUUGUUCGGAAUCACUGGGCGUAAAGGGCGUGUAGGCGGCCUGUUAAGUCUGAUGUGAAAUCCCCUCGCUCAACGAGGGAACUGCGUCGGAUACUGACAGACUCGAGUACCGGAGAGGAAGGUGGAAUUCCCGGUGUAGCGGUGAAAUGCGUAGAUAUCAGGAGGAACACCGGUGGCGAAGGCGGGUCUCUGGGACGGUACUGACGCUGAGACGCGAAAGCGUGGGGAGCGAACAGG
RNAcentral lists this ribosomal RNA (253 nucleotides) under uncultured bacterium. RNAcentral's name for it is "partial 16S ribosomal RNA". It matches the Rfam family "Bacterial small subunit ribosomal RNA", at positions 524 to 776 of the family's 1533-position model. The record is from RNAcentral.